UACGAAGGGGGCUAGCGUUGCUCGGAAUCACUGGGCGUAAAGCGCACGUAGGCGGAUUGCUAAGUCAGGGGUGAAAUCCUGGAGCUCAACCUCGGAACUGCCUUCGAUACUGCGGGUCUCAAGUCCGGGAGAGGUGAGUGGAAUUCCUAGUGUAGAGGUGAAAUUCGUAGAUAUUAGGAAGAACACCAGUGGCGAAGGCGGCUCACUGGCCCGGUACUGACGCUGAGGCGCGAAAGCGUGGGGAGCAAACAGG
RNAcentral lists this ribosomal RNA (253 nucleotides) under uncultured bacterium. RNAcentral describes it as "partial 16S ribosomal RNA". It matches the Rfam family "Bacterial small subunit ribosomal RNA", at positions 524 to 776 of the family's 1533-position model. The record is from RNAcentral.